RNAcentral lists this small RNA (1393 nucleotides) under Arabidopsis thaliana (thale cress). Its description in RNAcentral is "ATSL210750". The record is from RNAcentral. Lineage: Eukaryota; Viridiplantae; Streptophyta; Magnoliopsida; Brassicales; Brassicaceae.
UUUUAAAACAAUAAAAUAACCUCAAAAGUUUGGGAGAUUUGCAAAACUACCCUUUUUUUACUACCUUUUGCAACAAUACCCUAUUGUUCAUUUUUAAAAAUAUCUCUUCCCUUGAACAGAAUGACCAAAUUACCCUCAUCUAAUAAGAACAUGUAAUUGGAAACUGAAAGUUUCCCGCCAAAUUUUUGGCGCCAAAAUUUAUUUUUCCCGCCAAAAAAAAAUUUCCGCCAAAAAAAAAAAUUCCCGCCAAAAUUUUUUCUCGUAAUUUUUUUUUCCCAGCCAGAAAAAUGCUUUUAAAAAUCCUUGUACAUUUUUUAAAAACUCUUUUAAAAACGUUGUAAAGUUUUUUAAAAGCUUUGAUAGUUGCUAAAAACCCUUGUAAAUCAUUUUAAAAUCUCUUAAAAUCUUUAUAAAGUCUUUAAAAACAUAGGUAAAUACUUUAAAACCCUUUUUUAAACCUUUGUAAAUCAUUUUAAAACUUUUUACAAGAUUUACAAUCGUUUUUAAAGCAUAAGUAAGUGGCAUUGAAUGAUUUACAAAGGAUUUUAAAAGCUUAUAAAAGGGUAAAACAUGAUUUACAAUCGUUUUAAAGCAUAAGUAAGUGGCAUAGAAUGAUUUACAAGUGAUUUAAAAAGUGUUUAUAUGGUUUACAAUCGUUUUAAAGCAUAAGUAAGUGGCAUUGAAUGAUUUACAAGGGAUUUUAAAAGGGGUUAACAUGAUUUACAAUCGUUUUUAAAGCAUAAGUAAGUGUCAAAUAAUGAUUUACAAGGGAUUUUAAAAAAGGUUUGCAUGGUUUACAAUCGUUUUUAAAUAAUAGGUAAAUGGUAUAGAAUGAUUUACAAAGAUUUUAAAAGCUUGUAAAAGGGUAAAACAUGAUUUACAAGAGUUUUAAAAGGAUUUACAAAGAUUUUAAACCUUUGUAAAUCCUUUUAAAACUCUUAUAAAGUCUUUAAAAGCAUUUUUUAACUCUUUUUGAACCAUUUUAAAAUUCUUGUGAACCUUUACAAAAGGAUUUAAAAAGAUUUUCAAGAGUUUUUAAAGGGUUUUCUUAUAAUUUCUUUUAAAAUCUUUUAAAAACUCUUGUACAUCAUUUAAAACCCUUUAAAAAUCUCUUGUAAAUCUUUUAAAACACUUUUAAACCCUUUAAAAAUCUUUAAAAAACUCUUGUAAGUCUUUUAAAGCCAUUUAAAAUCCCUUGUAAAUCUUUUAAAACUCUUUUAAAAUCUCUUGUAAAUCUUUUAAACCCUUUUAAAAUCUUUUGUAAAUAUUUUAAACCCUUUUAAAAUCUCUUGUAAAUCUUUUAAAAUAUUUUAAAACCCUUUUAAAAUCUCUUGUAAAUCUAUUUCCCGCCAAAAACAAAAUUUUACGGGAAAAAUGUUUUCGAAAAUUUUUU